UGGAAGUCUUGUUGUUUUGCUCUUUGGGUCUACACUGCUUUUAUGAGCUGUAACACUCACCGCGAAGGUCUGCAGCUUCACUCUUGAAGCCAGUGAGACCAUGAGCCCACCGGGAGAAACGAACCACUCCAGACGCGCCGCUUUAAGAGCUGUAACACUCACUGUGAAGGUCUGUAGCUUCACUCCUGAGCCAGCGCGACCACGAACCCACCAGAAGGAAGAAACUCCGAACACAUCCGAACAUCAGAAAGAAACUCCAGACGCACCACCUUAAGAGCUGUAACGUUCACCGUGAGGGUCCGUGGCUUCAUUCUUUAAGUCAGUGAGACCAAGGACCCACCAAUUCUGGACACACUGUGAGCACAGAUUUGUGUAUUCUGGACACUUCACAUAAAUGGACUCGUGACAUUCAUGUCUUGUUUCUUUCACUCAGCAUAAUGCUUCCAAGGUUCAUCCAUGAUGUAUCAAGUACUGUAUUCCUUUUCAUGGCUGAAUAAUAUUCCAUUGUACACAUAUAGCACCUUUUUUAAAAUCAAUUCAUUUGGAUUGCUUUUAUUUUUUGGCAAUUUUCAAUCAUGUGGCUAUAAACAUUCAUAUACAAGUUUUUGUGAGUAUGUGUUUU
This 622-nucleotide long non-coding RNA is filed under the name Homo sapiens (human). RNAcentral's name for it is "HSALNT0126564". Lineage: Eukaryota; Metazoa; Chordata; Mammalia; Primates; Hominidae. The record is from RNAcentral.